UGGGGAAUAUUGGUCAAUGGGCGCAAGCCUGAACCAGCAACGCCGCGUGAGGGAUGAAGGUCCUCGGAUUGUAAACCUCUUUCAGCAGGGACGAAGCGAAAGUGACGGUACCUGCAAAAGAAGCACCGGCUAACUACGUGCCAGCAGCCGCGGUAAUACGUAGGGUGCAAGCGUUGUCCGGAUUUAUUGGGCGUAAAGAGCUCGUAGGCGGCCUGACACGUCGGAUGUGAAAACACGGUGCUUAACACCGUGCCUGCAUUCGAUACGGUCAAGCUAGAGGAUGUCAGGGGAAACUGGAAUUCCUGGUGUAGCGGUGAAAUGCGCAGAUAUCAGGAGGAACACCGGUGGCGAAGGCGGGUUUCUGGGACAUUACUGACGCUGAGGAGCGAAAGCGUGGGGAGCAAACA
Molecule: ribosomal RNA, 407 nt
Filed under: uncultured Actinomycetales bacterium
Lineage: Bacteria; Bacillati; Actinomycetota; Actinomycetes; Actinomycetales
Description: partial 16S ribosomal RNA
Rfam family: Bacterial small subunit ribosomal RNA
Source: RNAcentral